AAGAGACAGCAGCAGCCGCGGUAAGACAGAGGAUGCAAGCGUUAUCCGGAAUGAUUGGGCGUAAAGCGUCUGUAGGUGGCUUUUCAAGUCCGCCGUCAAAUCCCAGGGCUCAACCCUGGACAGGCGGUGGAAACUACCAAGCUGGAGUACGGUAGGGGCAGAGGGAAUUUCCAGUGGAGCGGUGAAAUGCGUUGAGAUUGAAAAGAACACCAACAGCGAAAGCACUCUGCUGGGACGACACUGACACUAAGAGACGAAAGCUAGGGGAGCAAAUGGGAUUAGAUACCCCUGUAGUCCCUGUCUCUUAUAA
Molecule: ribosomal RNA, 310 nt
Filed under: uncultured bacterium
Lineage: Bacteria
Description: partial 16S ribosomal RNA
Rfam family: Bacterial small subunit ribosomal RNA
Source: RNAcentral